ACAGGGAUUACCUCAGUAACGGCGAGUGAAGCGGUAACAGCUCAAAUUUGAAAGCUAGCUCUUUGAGGGUUCGCAUUGUAAUUUGUAGAAGAUGCUUCGGGUGUGGCCCCGGUCUAAGUUCCUUGGAACAGGACGUCAUAGAGGGUGAGAAUCCCGUAUGUGACUGGGUGCUUUCGCUCAUGUGAAGCUCUUUCGACGAGUCGAGUUGUUUGGGAAUGCAGCUCUAAAUGGGUGGUACAUUUCAUCUAAAGCUAAAUAUUGGCCAGAGACCGAUAGCGCACAAGUAGAGUGAUCGAAAGAUGAAAAGCACUUUGGAAAGAGAGUUAAACAGUACGUGAAAUUGUUGAAAGGGAAGCGCUUGCAACCAGACUUGCGCGCUGAUGAUCAUCCGGGCUUCUGCCCGGUGCACUCGUCUGCGCUCAGGCCAGCAUCGGUUUCGGUGGUGGGAUAAAGGCCUUGGGAAUGUAGCUCCUCUCGGGGAGUGUUAUAGCCCUCGGUGCAAUGCCGCCUACCGGGACCGAGGACCGCGCUUCGGCUAGGAUGCUGGCGUAAUGGUUGUAAGCGACCCGUCUUGAAACACGGACCAAGGAGUCUAACAUCUAUGCGAGUGUUUGGGUGUCAAACCCAUACGCGUAAUGAAAGUGAACGGAGGUGAGAACCCUUAAGGGUGCAUCAUCGACCGGUCCUGAUGUCUUCGGAUGGAUCUGAGUAAGAGCAUAGCUGUUGGGACCCGAAAGAUGGUGAACUAUGCGUGAAUAGGGUGAAGCCAGAGGAAACUCUGGUGGAGGCUCGCAGCGGUUCUGACGUGCAAAUCGAUCGUCAAAUUUGCGUAUAGGGGCGAAAGACUAAUCGA
RNAcentral lists this ribosomal RNA (853 nucleotides) under Rhynchosporium graminicola. RNAcentral describes it as "partial large subunit ribosomal RNA". It matches the Rfam family "Eukaryotic large subunit ribosomal RNA", at positions 68 to 938 of the family's 3401-position model. The record is from RNAcentral. Lineage: Eukaryota; Fungi; Ascomycota; Leotiomycetes; Helotiales; Ploettnerulaceae.